This 172-nucleotide ribosomal RNA is filed under the name Saccharina ochotensis. Its description in RNAcentral is "partial 18S ribosomal RNA". It matches the Rfam family "Eukaryotic small subunit ribosomal RNA", at positions 1660 to 1831 of the family's 1831-position model. The record is from RNAcentral. Lineage: Eukaryota; Phaeophyceae; Laminariales; Laminariaceae.
UUGUACACACCGCCCGUCGCACCUACCGAUUGAAUGUUUCGGUGAAGAUUCCGGACUGUGGCUCGCGUGCUUCACGGCGCUCUUGCCGUGGGAAGUUAUCUAAACCUCAACAUUUAGAGGAAGGUGAAGUCGUAACAAGGUUUCCGUAGGUGAACCUGCGGAAGGAUCAUUA